This 253-nucleotide ribosomal RNA is filed under the name uncultured bacterium. Its description in RNAcentral is "partial 16S ribosomal RNA". It matches the Rfam family "Bacterial small subunit ribosomal RNA", at positions 524 to 776 of the family's 1533-position model. The record is from RNAcentral.
UACGUAGGGUGCAAGCGUUGUCCGGAAUUAUUGGGCGUAAAGAGCUCGUAGGCGGUUUGUCGCGUCUGCUGUGAAAACUCGGGGCUUAACCCCGGGCCUGCAGUGGGUACGGGCAGACUAGAGUGCGGUAGGGGAGACUGGAAUUCCUGGUGUAGCGGUGAAAUGCGUAGAUAUCGGAAGGAACGCCGGUGGCGAAAGCGACGUGCUGGACCUCUUCUGACGCUGAGGCGCGAAAGCCAGGGGAGCGAACGGG